Molecule: antisense RNA, 81 nt
Filed under: Vibrio harveyi
Lineage: Bacteria; Pseudomonadati; Pseudomonadota; Gammaproteobacteria; Vibrionales; Vibrionaceae
Description: AsdA
Rfam family: antisense RNA of dnaA mRNA
Source: RNAcentral
UUUCGCAUUUGGGUUGUUAUCCACAAUGGCAUUACCCACUGCAUGCAACAAGUGCGUUUUACCCAAGCCAGUACCACCGUA